RNAcentral lists this unclassified non-coding RNA (167 nucleotides) under rhizosphere metagenome. Its description in RNAcentral is "partial ribosomal RNA internal transcribed spacer region". The record is from RNAcentral.
GUAGGGCUUCGGCCCUGUCGAGAUAGAACCCUUGCCUUUAUGAGUACCGUCCGUUUCCUCGGCAGGUCCGCCUGCCGAUGGACCAAAAAAACAAACCCUUUUAUUACCUGUAUCAGUCUGAAGAACAAAUAAAAAUUAAAACUUUCAACAACGGAUCUCUUGGUUCU